Molecule: long non-coding RNA, 762 nt
Organism: Dermacentor silvarum
Lineage: Eukaryota; Metazoa; Arthropoda; Arachnida; Ixodida; Ixodidae
Exons: 4
Source: RefSeq, a predicted model, not a curated record
UCUGUAGCCAUGACUAGCAGUGCGUACAACGUGCAAAAACUUCUGGUCUGAUGACGAACGCCGGUAGCAAACAACAUUGUCGAUGCCUACGUUGUAUUUCUGCAGAACAGGAAGUAACGCUUGUACCUGCUAAGAUCUCCUGGAGAAACGUCGAGUCAUUCGUCAAAACGUUUGCGAUGAGAUUUCUACUCACUGGUCUUCUGGGGAUUCUUAUCGCUUUGCUUAUUCCUGUCGAAGGCGUACGCAAGCGAAGAAAUACGACAGGGACAGGAAGCUCAAAUGGCAAUGUGCAUAAUAGGCAAUUGCAGUGCAAAUCAACGAACAAGACGUGCCAAUUCUUACGUCAAGGUACAACUAAGUUGACCAAGAAAUUGAGGCGCCAGUGUAUCGAAUGCGUGAAAGCUUGUGCCGCUGUUGCACCUACUACAGAAGCCGAUUACUACCAGAGGAUCUGCGUUGGCCAAUACUGAACGCGGAUCUGAGAACCAUGCCGCUAGAAGAGCUAUUGGUCGCGUGUUUAUUCGAAGCUAUUUCUGAAUCCCAAACACAUGUAAAAAUUUAGUUUACUGGACUCGACUGACGGAGGCAGAUGGAACCUCAAUGAAAACACCAAGGCACAUUUUACUAUCAUCAGAUCUUUUGAAAAUAGAAGUACCAUAACAAUGAAUCUUAAAAAGGAAAAAGAAACGUGCAACUGUUUUGUCCGCACAUUUGCGAAUGCAUAUCACGACUCCUUUAAAUUAUCUUCGCUGACAUACGGCA